AGUGAACGCUGGCGGCGUGCUUAACACAUGCAAGUCGAACGAGAACGGAUUAUAGCUUGCUAUAAUUGUCAGCUAAGUGGCGCACGGGUGAGUAAUGUAUAGAUAACCUGCCCUCUAGAAAGGAAUAACAGUUGGAAACGACUGCUAAUGCCCUAUAUGCCUUUAAUACAUAAGUAUGCAAGGGAAACGCUUUAGUGCUAGAGGAUGGGUCUGUAUGGUAUCAGUUAGUUGGUGAGGUAAUGGCUCACCAAGACUAUGACGCCUAACUGGUUUGAGAGGAUGAUCAGUCACACUGGAACUGAGACACGGUCCAGACUCCUACGGGAGGCAGCAGUGGGGAAUAUUGCACAAUGGACGAAAGUCUGAUGCAGCAACGCCGCGUGGAGGAUGACACAUUUCGGUGCGUAAACUCCUUUUAUAUAGGAAGAUAAUGACGGUACUAUAUGAAUAAGCACCGGCUAACUCCGUGCCAGCCGCCGCCGUAA
RNAcentral lists this ribosomal RNA (485 nucleotides) under uncultured bacterium. Its description in RNAcentral is "partial 16S ribosomal RNA". It matches the Rfam family "Bacterial small subunit ribosomal RNA", at positions 29 to 523 of the family's 1533-position model. The record is from RNAcentral.